This 227-nucleotide unclassified non-coding RNA is filed under the name Hevea brasiliensis (rubber tree). Lineage: Eukaryota; Viridiplantae; Streptophyta; Magnoliopsida; Malpighiales; Euphorbiaceae. The record is from RNAcentral.
AAUGGAAAAAUGUUUAAGGUUCAAUUAGAGGAGGUUCCACCACUAUCUGAAACUCAUGAGAGAUUUAUUAGACCUGUGAUUAGAUUGCAAGAUAAAAAUAUUGUCCUCACUCCUAUUAAUCCUGAGAUUCGUGAUACCAGUGUGCUUGUGAGGUUAAGGCCUGCAUGGGAGGAUUUGCGAAGUUAUUUAAUUGCAAAAGGACACAAACGAUUUGAAGUUUAUGUUUG